GAUAAGCACAACUUAUAUAAGAACCUGUUUAGGCUAACUUGAAAAGUCUAGGUUCUUAUACGCGGGGUUUUACACCUGGUUGUCGUGAACUCGUAUAACAAUAUUAUUAGACAAUAUUAUAGACAAUAUUGUCGUCAUUAAAAAAACCCUCCACCUACUUUAAUCAAUCCUGGAAGAGAUGACCAGAACUCAACAUUUGGUAUAACUUCUUUGCCAGUCGCUCCUCUUUUAUACUUCAUAAAUAAUACUCCAGCCACAAGAUAAAUAACAAGAACCACGAAAAAACUAAAAA
Molecule: non-coding RNA, 292 nt
Organism: Paramuricea clavata
Lineage: Eukaryota; Metazoa; Cnidaria; Anthozoa; Malacalcyonacea; Plexauridae
Source: the annotation of a GenBank genome assembly